UGUGUGUCUGAAGCUUUUUCAACCUUUCAAAGAUCAGUCGUUUGAUAUGCAAAAAAUAAGGGACUAUGUGUAGGACUCGAUCGCAUUUUCAACGUCGGACUACGAAAUUACUCGCUUGUUUAUCAUCGAUAUUAUUUAAAAAUGCAUCGUAACUUUUUGUAUACUUAGAAAGUAGUUUAAAAUGUUUUAGUGGUGUGGAAAAAGUCGUGAUUUUGUAGCAACAGCUGAAGAUGGUUGAGCCAUGAUUGAUUCAUUCAUGAUUCAAAAUAAUGAGCAACAAUCGUGUUAUUUUUCUUCUUGGUGUUAUAGCUUCAACAGUUACCGUAGCAGCCCUGUUCCAACCAUAAUUGAGCAGUCAUUGGCCCGAUGUCGACCGAUACGAAGUAACAUGCUACAAAAGUGCUGGAAUCUACCUCCGCCUUGCCCCCCGCAAGCAGUACUGUCUAUAGUUGAACUAUAAUUGUAUGUAAUUUUUUUUGUACUGAGCGAAACGGCAUUACUGUAGAGAUUGCUUUUUCUCUUUCUUUCUAAACUGUCAUUCAAAACAUAACAGAGAAUGACUCGAGAACUGAAUUUUAAACAAAUCCAACAACACGGAGACAAAAUACAGGCGAAUUUGUGAUGAACACAGCUAGUCUUUGUUGAUAUAUCGCCUCAAAGAAAGGAAAGCAGCAGCAACAGCAGAAAUGUAUAAAUGAAAAUGAAAAAAUAGCUGCAUGUAAUGAAAACGGAGUUUGCAGCUUCGAUAAAGUAUUGUUUUUGGGAUCAGACCAAAGACUUCAUCUCACCAUUCAUCAACAACAACUUCAACACGAACGUAACCAAGUUGAAUACCCAAAAAAACUCAUCCAUCGCAACAGUCAUGAUUGCCCACGAAGUUAGGUGUGUUUGCUAGAGGGAACGAAAGCGACAAAAAUAAUUGAGCCGACUGCGAUUCCGAUGAAGAAAUUUGUAGUUGUCGGGAGUUUACUGAUGACGGUAUAAUCGCUGCGAAUAGUAUACGCUAAUUUAUUAUAAAUAAAUAUUCGUAAACA
Toxorhynchites rutilus septentrionalis is the source of this 1034-nucleotide long non-coding RNA. RefSeq lists it as uncharacterized. NCBI's taxonomy places the organism in Eukaryota, Metazoa, Arthropoda, Insecta, Diptera, Culicidae. The record is from RefSeq and is a predicted model, not a curated record. The transcript is spliced from 3 exons.